Molecule: long non-coding RNA, 223 nt
Filed under: Elaeis guineensis (African oil palm)
Lineage: Eukaryota; Viridiplantae; Streptophyta; Magnoliopsida; Arecales; Arecaceae
Description: long non-coding RNA (EGUI_LNC017944)
Source: RNAcentral
GUAGGGAUAUAUGCAUCAUGUACUAUGUGAUCAUCGAGAUCCCCUUGAACCUUCCUACUCUAAUGAUUGAGGCCAUGAGGGAGACCCUAAAUAGGUCUAAGGCUCACUUGCCUUAUGGUAUGGUACUCACCCUGGUCUGUAGAAGGUUCGAAGUCUGUUUUGAGGGGGAGACAGUUACCAGGUUAUCAUAUUCUGACACCAUCAACCGUCACACACUGCACCG